AUAGAACCUGUAACUAUGGCACUAUACAGAUUUCUACUAGCUAAUAUUCCGCAAGCAGCAGACAGCGCCCCGUUUUUAGAGAAAUAACCUCACUCAUAUGCCAUAAUUCGUUUUUCACAUACAAAGGAGAAUUUUACAGACAAACUCUGGGAGUUCCCAUAGGCAGCCCGAUGGCGGGCCCGUUAGCAGAGAUCCUCCUAAGGCAGUUGGAACCACAGACCAUCGACAGAUUCAGGCCAAAUAUCAAAUUAUGUGAGGUACGUUGACAACAUACUAACAGUUUAGAAGAGUAAACUAGAAAUAAGGGACCUGGAAGGGGCAAUUACUAUGCCGUCGUAUGGCCUUAAGCUGAAGAGAACACAAUCACCUCAGCCACGAGCGAACUUUUUAGAUAUUGCCAUCAAUGUAACUGCCAAUGGUAUGGAAACAGCAGUAUAUCGGAAACCACAAUAUAAAGCAAUAAUCAUUCCGAGUUGGUCCCCGGACCCUAUCAAAUAUAAGAGAACAGCUUUUCGAGCAUACUGCAGAAGGGCAUACCUCUAUACCACAACUAAUCAAGAUCUAGAAAGAGAAUUAAAGUUUAUAUACAAUAUAGGAAAACAGUACGGCUAUACCCACAUGUUUCUG
RNAcentral lists this long non-coding RNA (627 nucleotides) under Androctonus crassicauda. Lineage: Eukaryota; Metazoa; Arthropoda; Arachnida; Scorpiones; Buthidae. The record is from RNAcentral.